RNAcentral lists this ribosomal RNA (204 nucleotides) under Triticum aestivum (bread wheat). Its description in RNAcentral is "partial small subunit ribosomal RNA". Lineage: Eukaryota; Viridiplantae; Streptophyta; Magnoliopsida; Poales; Poaceae. The record is from RNAcentral.
AUGAAUUAGAAAGAAAGAGAUCAGGUUAUUUAUGAUCGGAGAAAAGGAAGGGGCGUGGUUGAUGUGUCACUGGGAACCCGUAGGAAGGGGAGACGACCGGCCUCAUUCACAUCUGAAAUCGCCAACAUGAACACAAACGAAAUCGUCUUAAUUUCAUAUAGAAAAAAAAGGAAACAAGUAAAAAAGUGUGGUCCCCGGGGAUAG